AAUUAAUUUUAGGGCUAAGCUGAAGGGAACAAAACUGGAGGGAAGAGAUUCCUUCUCACAGUUACAGUUGAGGUGGAAGAAGCUACUGCAUUGAUCCAAUUCCGCGCCAAUGAACAGUUCUUCGGAAUCAUCUAAAGCAAGGAAACGCCGAAGAGAGGCCGAAAUUGAAGACGAUGGCGAUGGCAAUGGCAAUGGCAAUUCUGAAAUUGAUUCUCUAGAGGAUUGUCUUACAUUUAGCGAUACUUUGGUGGCGCUUCGUAUGAUGCGAGUUCAGUUUCCCAACAUCGACAAGGUGUCAGUUCAGCCAUUCAUUUUGCAAUCACAGUUGUAUAGUACUUUGAAAGACCGAACAGAAGUAGACAGGGAACUAGAGUGUCUAAAACGAGAAAAAGUAGUGCGUGUAUUCAAACUGAAUACUGGACAAGAUGAUCAUGCAAUAAUGUUUCUGGAUGACUAUCUGAAGCAGAUUGACCAUGUGAUAUCAAGAUUUGAAGAAAGGAUGCAACUUGGCACGGGAAUUUUUCAGUGGUUUAAGACGCAUGUUCUGGAUUGCAAAUUGGAACCUAGUAUUGGACAUCAGGAGCUUUGCACUCUCUUAUCUCUUGGGGGAAAGGUUAAAGAUGAAGAUAUCUCCCUCUUGAUCAACGCUGGACUCCUUAAUCGCCAACUUAUUGAUCCAAACGUGUAUUGGUUUGCAAUUCCAAGUAUUGGUUCAGUACUGAAAGGCAUUGCUCAGGGUAGAAAGGAACUCAUUUCUUUGCUAAAACGUACCAAAUAUAAAGAAAUGAUGAUGACAUCUUUGCAGAAGAAGCGUCUUCGUUUUUCUUCGCUCGAUAUGAGAUUUCACAUACGGGAUUUAAUUGGCUCAGGUUACCUCCGAACUGUGCAAUCACCAACAGGCUUACUUGUUCAGUUAUCGAAAGAUUGAAACCAGGGAGGAUUGAAUCAUGUGCUUCUGUUUGCUGUCAUCCCAUUCAUGUUUAUUGUCUUGCUCAAAGCUAGGAACCAUAAAAUCAUUUGAUGGCUAUGAUCUCAAGUUCGAUAAAUUGGGGAGCUUAGAGAAUAGAUAACUAAAACAUUAUCAUCUCAACAAUCGGUGUUGAAGGAAUGAUCUUAAUUAUGUCGAUGUAAUUCUUCUGUUAAAGUUAGGAUAUAUUUGUGUAAUCCCUCGACCUCACUAAUUUAUCUUGUUGCGUAAUAUACUUAUUUAGAUUUAUUGUUAUAUUUAUUUUGAUUUACUGUUACUAGUAUAUGUGAGUUUAUUCGGAUUUAUUGUCACCUCAUAUCUAGGGAAUAUAAACGGCACAUGUACGAAAAUAAAUAUGAAAAGCAAGCUAGAUAAUUUAAACCGGUAGAACCUUCUUCAAAGGUUGUUUGACAAGGAGUUUACUUGUCUAAACCAUAGUGGAAAUAAGGGCAAUAUGAAUGAAUAGAAGAAACGCUAUAUGAAUUACUAAUACUUAGUGUUACCUUUCUCCAUGGACCAGAUUUAGAUGAAGAACUGCUUUGCAGGUCACACUGUAGAUAUAGAAAUAUGAACAAAAAGUAAAUGAGAAAAUGAGCAAAGCAACUUGCUCUGACAAAUUAACCAAAGAUAGUGGGAAAUCAUGCUACCUCUUCAAACUUUUCAAAAUUUUGAGUGUCUAGCUCAUCUUUAACCUCGGGAACAAAUGCAGCUUCCAUUUCAUAUAGCCUAUCCCAUUCAAUACCUUCAAACCACGGAUGAACCUAGAUGAUAAAUUGGCAGGCAGGAACCUUGAGAUUAUUUAAAUUUUUCCUAAUUAAACCAAAAGAAAUUAAGAAAUGGACACACCAUACAACACCUUAAUGUCAUCCGCGCCAUUUGUACCUAGCCUCUCGUCAACAUUGCAUAGUAGUUUGCUGAUAAGAUCUUUUGCCAAGGGAGAUAGCUUUGCUUCAUCAGGGAACACCAAAUGAGUUCUCCAGUUCACUAUCUGGAAAGAAUAACAACGCAAAAUAAAAUUCAUAUGAGUUACAUAGGACUUCACGGAGUAUCUAAAAA
Molecule: RNA transcript, 2023 nt
Organism: Cucurbita moschata (crookneck pumpkin)
Lineage: Eukaryota; Viridiplantae; Streptophyta; Magnoliopsida; Cucurbitales; Cucurbitaceae
Gene name: serine/threonine-protein kinase 19
Exons: 9
Source: RefSeq, a predicted model, not a curated record